RNAcentral lists this ribosomal RNA (1348 nucleotides) under metagenome. RNAcentral's name for it is "bacterial LSU rRNA". It matches the Rfam family "Bacterial large subunit ribosomal RNA", at positions 1564 to 2925 of the family's 2925-position model. The record is from RNAcentral.
UGAGUACGAGCGGCUACGGCCGCGAAGUGGAUGAUGUCAAGCUUCCAAGAAAAGCCCUAUACCCGUUAAGGCAUGAUGGCCUGUACCCGAAACCGACACAGGUGGGGUGGUAGAGAAUACCGAGGGGCGCGAGGUAACUCUCUCUAAGGAACUCGGCAAAAUGGCCCCGUAACUUCGGGAGAAGGGGUGCCACUGCGAGGUGGUCGCAGUGAAGAGGCCCAGGCGACUGUUUACCAAAAACACAGGUCUCCGCUAAGUCGCAAGACGAUGUAUGGGGGCUGACGCCAGCCCAGUGCCGGAAGGUUAAGGAAGCUGGUCAGCGCAAGCGAAGCUGGCGACUGAAGCCCCGGUGAACGGCGGCCGUAACAAUAACGGUCCUAAGGUAGCGAAAUUCCUGGUCGGGUAAGUUCCGACCCGCACGAAAGGCGUAACGAUCUGGGCGCUGUCUCGGAGAGAGGCUCGGCGAAAUAGAAUUGUCUGUGAAGAUGCGGACUACGUGCACCCGGACAGAAAGACCCUAUGAAGCUUUACUGUAGCUUGGUAUUGUGCUCGGGCUCGGAAUGCGCAGGAUAGGUGGGAGGCUUUGAUCCAUUGCUUGCGGGUGAUGGUGAGCCACUGGUGAGAUACCACUCUUUCCGAGCUAGAGUUCUAACAGCAACCCGUUAUCCGGGUGCUGGACAGUAUCAGGUGGGCAGUUUGACUGGGGCGGUCGCCUCCUAAAAGGUAACGGAGGCGCGCAAAGGUCUGCUCAGGCUGGUUGGAAAUCAGCCGACGAGUGUAAAAGCAGAAGCAGGCUUGACUGUGAGACCUACAAGUCGAACAGGGAGGAAACUCGGCUUUAGUGAUCCGACGGUUCUGCGUGGAAGGGCCGUCGCUCAACGGAUAAAAGUUACUCUAGGAUAACAGGCUGAUCUCCCCCAAGAGUUCACAUCGACGGGGAGGUUUGGCACCUCGAUGUCGGCUCAUCGCAACCUGGGGCUGAAGUCGGUCCCAAGGGUUGGGCUGUUCGCCCGUUAAAGCGGUACGCGAGCUGGGUUCAGAACGUCGUGAGACAGUUCGGUCCAUAUCCGGUGCACGCGCGGGAAUAUUGAGAGGAUUUCUCCCUAGUACGAGAGGACCGGGAGGAACGCACCUCUGGUGUGCCAGUUAUCGUGCCAACGGUAAACGCUGGGUAGCCAUGUGCGGAGUGGAUAACCGCUGAAAGCAUCUAAGUGGGAAGCCCACCUCAAGAUGAGUAUUCCCAUGGCAUAAGCCAGUAAGGUCACGGGAAGAACACCCGUUGAUAGGCUCUACGUGGAAGCGCAGUAAUGUGUGAAGCGGAGGAGUACUAAUAGACCGAGGGCUUGAC